Molecule: transfer RNA, 87 nt
Filed under: Candidatus Methylomirabilis lanthanidiphila
Lineage: Bacteria; Methylomirabilota (SeqCode); Methylomirabilia (SeqCode); Methylomirabilales (SeqCode); Methylomirabilaceae (SeqCode)
Description: tRNA-Leu
Rfam family: tRNA
About the family: Transfer RNA (tRNA) molecules are approximately 80 nucleotides in length. Their secondary structure includes four short double-helical elements and three loops (D, anti-codon, and T loops). Further hydrogen bonds mediate the characteristic L-shaped molecular structure. tRNAs have two regions of fundamental functional importance: the anti-codon, which is responsible for specific mRNA codon recognition, and the 3' end, to which the tRNAs corresponding amino acid is attached (by aminoacyl-tRNA synthetases). tRNAs cope with the degeneracy of the genetic code in two manners: having more than one tRNA (with a specific anti-codon) for a particular amino acid; and 'wobble' base-pairing, i.e. permitting non-standard base-pairing at the 3rd anti-codon position.
Source: RNAcentral
GCCGGGGUGGCGGAACAGGGAGACGCUCGGGACUUAAAAUCCUGCGGGCUUCGGCUCAUGCGGGUUCGACUCCCGCCCCCGGCACCA